CGUGAGCGGCGGACGGGUGAGUAACGCGUGGGUAACCGUGCCUCAUACAGGGGGAUAACAGUUGGAAACGGACUGCUAAUACCGCAUAAGCGCACAGUACCGCAUGGUACGGUGUGAAAAACUCCGGUGGUAUGAGAUGGACCCGCGUCUGAUUAGGUAGUUGGUGGGGUAACGGCCUACCAAGCCGACGAUCAGUAGCCGACCUGAGAGGGUGACCGGCCACAUUGGGACUGAGACACGGCCCAA
RNAcentral lists this ribosomal RNA (246 nucleotides) under uncultured bacterium. RNAcentral's name for it is "partial 16S ribosomal RNA". It matches the Rfam family "Bacterial small subunit ribosomal RNA", at positions 90 to 334 of the family's 1533-position model. The record is from RNAcentral.